RNAcentral lists this ribosomal RNA (497 nucleotides) under uncultured bacterium. RNAcentral's name for it is "partial 16S ribosomal RNA". It matches the Rfam family "Bacterial small subunit ribosomal RNA", at positions 28 to 507 of the family's 1533-position model. The record is from RNAcentral.
GAUGAACGCUGGCGGCGUGCCUAAUACAUGCAAGUCGAGCGAACGGACGAGAAGCUUGCUUCUCUGAUGUUAGCGGCGGACGGGUGAGUAACACGUGGAUAACCUACCUAUAAGACUGGGAUAACUUCGGGAAACCGGAGCUAAUACCGGAUGAUAUUUUGAACCGCAUGGUUCAAAAGUGAAAGACGGUCUUGCUGUCACUUAUAGAUGGAUCCGCGCUGCAUUAGCUAGUUGGUAAGGUAACGGCUUACCAAGGCAACGAUGCAUAGCCGACCUGAGAGGGUGAUCGGCCACACUGGAACUGAGACACGGUCCUGACUCCUACGGGAGGCAGCAGUAGGGAAUCUUCCACAAUGGGCGAAAGCCUGACGGAGCAACGCCGCGUGAGUGAUGAAGGUCUUCGGAUCGUAAAACUCUGUUAUUAGGGAAGAACAUAUGUGUAAGUAACUGUGCACAUCUUGACGGUACCUAAUCAGAAAGCCACGGCUAACUACGUG